Molecule: long non-coding RNA, 1299 nt
Organism: Podarcis muralis (Common wall lizard)
Lineage: Eukaryota; Metazoa; Chordata; Lepidosauria; Squamata; Lacertidae
Source: RefSeq, a predicted model, not a curated record
UUUGGCCGUGAAUGUCACCUGACCUGUCGGUGAGCUGCCAUUGGCUGAGAGGAGAGAGAAGGCUGAAGCGCGGAGCCACCUUUAGUUUGGGAGCAAGAUGGCGGCGAGGAAACUGAGCGGGAAGUAAUGGUCUUCUGCUCCUGUUGACGCAUAGAAGAGAGGAGGCGAUGAUGAUGUGGGAGGUUCACCCACCAAGUGCUACGCUCCUGAAGGGGAGCCCUUGGAGGAGAAUCCCUCCUAGCAGAGUCCUGCUCUGACCUCCGCCCUCCCUCACCAGAUAUUAAGAACAUUUCCUGGAAUCGGACACAAAAGCGUCGUUUGCCAUAGUUUAUGGUGGGGCUGACCAACAUGGUGCUGCCAUGGUAUUGCUGGGUUACUUGCCACACUAGCUGGGGCCGAGGGGAGCUGCAGUCAACAGUUGGCCAUCCUAGGGCCCAUUUGCUCUGUACAUUUAAAGCAGUGUCAUAGCCCUUUAAACAGCCGUGCCUUCCUCCAAAGCACCCUGGGAGCGGGGGCUUGCUAAGGCUGCAGAGAGUUGCUAGGAGACCCUGGUUCCCCUUACAAAGCUCCAUUUUCCUUAGGAGUUCCUAGGGAAAGAGGCAUUGAUAAGCCAGAAGUUGUAGCUACGUGAGGGGAAUAGGGAUCCCCUAAGACAGGCAUGGCCAAACUUGGCCCGCCAGCUGUUUUGGGACUACAACUCCCAUCAUCCCUAGCUAACAGGACCAGUGGUCAGGGAUGAUGGGAAUUGUAGUCCCCAAGCAGCUGGAGGGCCAAGUUUGGCCAUGCCUGCCCUAAGAACUCUCCGCACCCUUGCUCCAGCAUCUAGAGGGACACAGGUUGUGCGUUCCUGUAGUGCUCACCAGAGCCAGGACCUGACUUCUGAGAGUUCUCUAGUUGCGGCUCCUUGGCUAAAAGAGCAGUUUCACCAUGCAACUCUCCACCAACUCUCAUCUGCAGCACCUGUUCCAUCAGGCUGCUGGGGACGGAUGGGAAUGAAGGAGCUCUACAACCAACUACUGAAAGCUCCUCUUUCCAUUGGAAGCUUUCUGUUCCAGCUGAUCCUGGUGAGAAACCUGCGACUAAGACAAGUGUGCUUUCCCACCCUGUUCCCUCCUAAACCCCUUUACUUUUGUGUUACGUCUUUUAUAUUACAAGUUGGCAGGCAGGGAACUGUCUUACCGGUAACCUCUACUGAGAGCCUUUUUUUUUGGCUAAAGAGCAGAAUAUAUAUAUAUAUUCAACCUAAAACAAUAAAUAAAUUAUUCUCUCUCAUGACCAAAUUGGAUGUUGUGAAUCUAA